AUUGAACGCUGGCGGCAGGCCUAACACAUGCAAGUCGAACGAGUGGCGGACGGGUGAGUAAUGGCUGAGCAAGUGCGUGAUGGAGGGGGAUAACUACGGGAAACGGUAGCUAAUACUGCAUACCACGCGAUGUGCCCAGAUGGGUUUAGCUAGUAGGUGGGGUAACGGCUGACCUAGGCGACGAUCCCUAGCUGGUCUGAGAGGAUGACCAGCCACACUGGAACUGAGACACGGUCCAGACUCCUACGGGAGGCAGCAGUGGGGAAUAUUGCACAAUGGGCGCAAGCCUGAUGCAGCCAUGCCGCGUGUAUGAAGAAGGCCUUCGGGUUGUAAAGUACUUUCAGCGGGGAGGCGUUACCCGCAGAAGAAGCACCGGCUAACUCCGUGCCAGCAGCCGCGGUAAUAC
Molecule: ribosomal RNA, 406 nt
Filed under: uncultured bacterium
Lineage: Bacteria
Description: partial 16S ribosomal RNA
Rfam family: Bacterial small subunit ribosomal RNA
Source: RNAcentral